AGAGUUUGAUCCUGGCUCAGAACGAACGCUGGCGGCAUGCCUAACACAUGCAAGUCGAACGCUCCGAGGGUUUCGGCUUUCGGGGAGUGGCGCACGGGUGAGUAGCGCGUGGGAACCUGUCCUUUUGUGGGGGAUAACCGAGGGAAACUUCGGCUAAUACCGCAUGCGCCCCUGGUUUUCGGAGCAAUCCGGCGACCGGG
This 200-nucleotide ribosomal RNA is filed under the name uncultured bacterium. RNAcentral describes it as "partial 16S ribosomal RNA". It matches the Rfam family "Bacterial small subunit ribosomal RNA", at positions 8 to 217 of the family's 1533-position model. The record is from RNAcentral.